Molecule: ribosomal RNA, 464 nt
Filed under: uncultured bacterium
Lineage: Bacteria
Description: partial 16S ribosomal RNA
Rfam family: Bacterial small subunit ribosomal RNA
Source: RNAcentral
CUACGGGAGGCAGCAGUGGGGAAUAUUGGACAAUGGGGGAAACCCUGAUCCAGCAAUGCCGCGUGUGUGAAGAAGGCCUGCGGGUUGUAAAGCACUUUCGGUUGGGAGGACUGCUUCUAGCACUAAUAUUGUUGGAAGUUGACGUUACCUUCAGAAGAAGCACCGGCUAACUCCGUGCCAGCAGCCGCGGUAAUACGGAGGGGCAAGCGUUAAUCGGAAUUACUGGGCGUAAAGCGCGCGUAGGCGGCUAGAUCAGUCGGGUGCGAAAGCCCCGGGCUUAACCUGGGAACCGCAUCCGAUACUGGCUGGCUUGAGUACAGGAGAGGAGAGUGGAAUUCCACAUGUAGCGGUGAAAUGCGUAGAUAUGUGGAGGAACACCAAUGGCGAAGGCAGCUCUCUGGCCUGAUACUGACGCUGAGGUGCGAAAGCGUGGGGAGCAAACAGGAUUAGAUACCCGCGUAGUC